RNAcentral lists this ribosomal RNA (186 nucleotides) under uncultured eukaryote. Its description in RNAcentral is "partial 18S ribosomal RNA". It matches the Rfam family "Eukaryotic small subunit ribosomal RNA", at positions 1299 to 1458 of the family's 1831-position model. The record is from RNAcentral.
UGGUGGAGUGAUUUGUCUGGUUAAUUCCGAUAACGAACGAGACUCUGUCCUGCUAACUAGGUUGCGUUUUCUCGGGUUGGUGUUUCUGGUGUUCCUUCUCGGGGCGCCGGCCCAAUCCACUUGUGAACACAACACUCUUCUUAGAGGGACUGGCGGCUGUUAGCCGCACGAGAUAGAGCAAUAACA